GUGACUGCGUACCUUUUGUAUAAUGGGUCAGCGACUUAUAUUCUGUAGCAAGGUUAACCGAAUAGGGGAGCCGAAGGGAAACCGAGUCUUAACUGGGCGUUAAGUUGCAGGGUAUAGACCCGAAACCCGGUGAUCUAGCCAUGGGCAGGUUGAAGGUUGGGUAACACUAACUGGAGGACCGAACCGACUAAUGUUGAAAAAUUAGCGGAUGACUUGUGGCUGGGGGUGAAAGGCCAAUCAAACCGGGAGAUAGCUGGUUCUCCCCGAAAGCUAUUUAGGUAGCGCCUCGUGAAUUCAUCUCCGGGGGUAGAGCACUGUUUCGGCAAGGGGGUCAUCCCGACUUACCAACCCGAUGCAAACUGCGAAUACCGGAGAAUGUUAUCACGGGAGACACACGGCGGGUGCUAACGUCCGUCGUGAAGAGGGAAACAACCCAGACCGCCAGCUAAGGUCCCAAAGUCAUGGUUAAGUGGGAAACGAUGUGGGAAGGCCCAGACAGCCAGGAUGUUGGCUUAGAAGCAGCCAUCAUUUAAAGAAAGCGUAAUAGCUCACUGGUCGAGUCGGCCUGCGCGGAAGAUGUAACGGGGCUAAACCAUGCACCGAAGCUGCGGCAGCGACACUAUGUGUUGUUGGGUAGGGGAGCGUUCUGUAAGCCUGCGAAGGUGUGCUGUGAGGCAUGCUGGAGGUAUCAGAAGUGCGAAUGCUGACAUAAGUAACGAUAAAGCGGGUGAAAAGCCCGCUCGCCGGAAGACCAAGGGUUCCUGUCCAACGUUAAUCGGGGCAGGGUGAGUCGACCCCUAAGGCGAGGCCGAAAGGCGUAGUCGAUGGGAAACAGGUUAAUAUUCCUGUACUUGGUGUUACUGCGAAGGGGGGACGGAGAAGGCUAUGUUGGCCGGGCGACGGUUGUCCCGGUUUAAGCGUGUAGGCUGGUUUUCCAGGCAAAUCCGGAAAAUCAAGGCUGAGGCGUGAUGACGAGGCACUACGGUGCUGAAGCAACAAAUGCCCUGCUUCCAGGAAAAGCCUCUAAGCAUCAGGUAACAUCAAAUCGUACCCCAAACCGACACAGGUGGUCAGGUAGAGAAUACCAAGGCGCUUGAGAGAACUCGGGUGAAGGAACUAGGCAAAAUGGUGCCGUAACUUCGGGAGAAGGCACGCUGAUAUGUAGGUGAAG
Molecule: ribosomal RNA, 1171 nt
Filed under: Escherichia coli
Lineage: Bacteria; Pseudomonadati; Pseudomonadota; Gammaproteobacteria; Enterobacterales; Enterobacteriaceae
Description: bacterial LSU rRNA
Rfam family: Bacterial large subunit ribosomal RNA
Source: RNAcentral